UAAAAGUCGUAACAAGGUCUCCGUUGGUGAACCAGCGGAGGGAUCAUUACCGAGUUUACAACUCCCAAACCCCUGUGAACAUACCAAUUGUUGCCUCGGCGGAUCAGCCCGCUCCCGGUAAAACGGAACGGCCCGCCAGAGGACCCCUAAACUCUGUUUCUAUAUGUAACUUCUGAGUAAAACCAUAAAUAAAUCAAAACUUUCAACAACGGAUCUCUUGGUUCUGGCAUCGAUGAAGAACGCAGCAAAAUGCGAUAAGUAAUGUGAAUUGCAGAAUUCAGUGAAUCAUCGAAUCUUUGAACGCACAUUGCGCCCGCCAGUAUUCUGGCGGGCAUGCCUGUUCGAGCGUCAUUUCAACCCUCAAGCCCCCGGGUUUGGUGUUGGGGAUCGGCGAGCCUCACGGCAAGCCGGCCCCGAAAUACAGUGGCGGUCUCGCUGCAGCUUCCAUUGCGUAGUAGUAAAACCCUCGCAACUGGUACGCGGCGCGGCCAAGCCGUUAAACCCCCAACUUCUGAAUGUUGACCUCGGAUCAGGUAGGAAUACCCGCUGAACUUAAGCAUAUCAAUAAGCGG
Molecule: ribosomal RNA, 572 nt
Filed under: fungal sp. FNBR_LK5
Lineage: Eukaryota; Fungi
Description: eukaryotic LSU rRNA
Rfam family: 5.8S ribosomal RNA (bases 198-351)
Source: RNAcentral